Ipomoea nil (Japanese morning glory) is the source of this 259-nucleotide long non-coding RNA. RefSeq lists it as uncharacterized. Lineage: Eukaryota; Viridiplantae; Streptophyta; Magnoliopsida; Solanales; Convolvulaceae. The transcript is spliced from 3 exons. The record is from RefSeq and is a predicted model, not a curated record.
UGUUGUGGUAUCUACCAGUGAUUCCAAGAUUCAAACGUUUGUUUGCAAAUGCAAAGGAUGCGAAGAAUUUGCAAUGGCAUGCUAUUGGCCAAAAGUCAAAAGUUUAGGGAGUUGCAAGCGCGAAAUGAGCAUCCCCACUUUUUAGGACAUAGGGGCUAUGUUGGAAUGCAAGCUGAGUGGAUGAUAUGCGACCCAUUGUCUUCACAGUCUUCUUGUGCUGCUAUUACAUCGACCAUAGCAUCUAAUGAUCGUAGUUUGG